Molecule: long non-coding RNA, 338 nt
Organism: Salvia miltiorrhiza (redroot sage)
Lineage: Eukaryota; Viridiplantae; Streptophyta; Magnoliopsida; Lamiales; Lamiaceae
Exons: 2
Source: RefSeq, a predicted model, not a curated record
CGACUCUUCAUCAAUGAAGGUCCGGGCGACAGAAAGUGAAGCCGAAGGAGAAGCGACUCCACGCCAGCUUUAAGAACGUUUAAGGUUGAGCAGGCGAUGGAAUGGUUUGGUGUUGAGCGGGAAUUCUUUUGAUGGAUACGUAAUGAAACCUUGAGUAUGCAUCUCCAUAUGCAUAACUCACACGUUUUUCCGCUGCAAACACUCUGAAUUUGUUAUCGUAUUAUGGAACUUAUUACUCUUUCACUUUGUUUAACUUUCCCUUGGGCCUGGUCGUUAUGGCAUAAUCGUUUGUAAAAUAUCCAAGCAGUUGUUUAUAUAUCACUAGUUGUUGUUAUUAA